GGAUUAAGAGCUUGCUCUUAUGAAGUUAGCGGCGGACGGGUGAGUAACACGUGGGUAACCUGCCCAUAAGACUGGGAUAACUCCGGGAAACCGGGGCUAAUACCGGAUAAUAUUUUGAACCGCAUGGUUCGAAAUUGAAAGGCGGCUUCGGCUGUCACUUAUGGAUGGACCCGCGUCGCAUUAGCUAGUUGGUGAGGUAACGGCUCACCAAGGCAACGAUGCGUACCCGACCUGAGAGGGUGAUCGGCCACACUGGGACUGAGACACGGCCCAUACUCCUACGGGAGGCAGCAGUAGGGAAUCUUCCGCAAUGGACGAAAGUCUGACGGAGCAACGCCGCGUGAGUGAUGAAGGCUUUCGGGUCGUAAAACUCUGUUGUUAGGGAAGAACAAGUGCUAGUUGAAUAAGCUGGCACCUUGACGGUACCUAACCAAAAAGCCACGGCUAACUACGUGCCACCAGCCGCGGUAAUACGUAGGUGGCAAGCGUUAUCCGGAAUUAUUGGGCGUAAAGCGCGCGCAGGUGGUUUCUUAAGUCUGAUGUGAAAGCCCACGGCUCAACCGGGGGAGGGUCAUUGGAAACUGGGAGACUUGAGUGCAGAAAAAGAAAGUGGGAAUUCCAUGUGUAGCGGGUGAAAUGCGUAGAGA
RNAcentral lists this ribosomal RNA (647 nucleotides) under Bacillus sp. DWSR85. Its description in RNAcentral is "bacterial SSU rRNA". It matches the Rfam family "Bacterial small subunit ribosomal RNA", at positions 69 to 696 of the family's 1533-position model. The record is from RNAcentral. Lineage: Bacteria; Bacillati; Bacillota; Bacilli; Caryophanales; Bacillaceae.